GAUGAAGAACGCAGCGAAAUGCGAUAAGUAAUGUGAAUUGCAGAAUUCAGUGAAUCAUCGAAUCUUUGAACGCACAUUGCGCCCGCCAGUAUUCUGGCGGGCAUGCCUGUCCGAGCGUCAUUUCAACCCUCGAACCCCUCCGGGGGGUCGGCGUUGGGGAUCGGGAACCCCUAAGACGGAUCCCGGCCCCGAAAUACAGUGGCGGUCUCGCCGCAGCCUCUCCUGCGCAGUAGUUUGCACAACUCGCACCGGGAGCGCGGCGCGUCCACGUCCGUAAAACACCCAACUUCUGAAAUGUUGACCUCGGAUCAGGUAGGAAUACCCGCUGAACUUAAGCAUAUCAAUAAGCGGAGGA
RNAcentral lists this unclassified non-coding RNA (355 nucleotides) under soil metagenome. RNAcentral describes it as "partial contains 5.8S ribosomal RNA, internal transcribed spacer 2, and large subunit ribosomal RNA". The stretch from base 1 to 120 matches the Rfam family "5.8S ribosomal RNA", at positions 35 to 154 of the family's 154-position model. The record is from RNAcentral.